RNAcentral lists this ribosomal RNA (454 nucleotides) under uncultured Glomus. RNAcentral describes it as "SSU rRNA". It matches the Rfam family "Eukaryotic small subunit ribosomal RNA", at positions 569 to 1025 of the family's 1831-position model. Lineage: Eukaryota; Fungi; Glomeromycota; Glomeromycetes; Glomerales; Glomeraceae. The record is from RNAcentral.
AGCAGCCGCGGUAAUUCCAGCUCCAAUAGCGUAUAUUAAAGUUGUUGCAGUUAAAAAGCUCGUAGUUGAAUUUCGGGAUCAAUUAAUUGGUCGUGCCUCUGGUACGUACUGAUUUUAUUGGUUUCUCCCUUCUGACGAACCAUGAUGUCAUUAAUUUGGUGUCGUGGAGAAUCAGGACUGUUACUUUAGAAAAAAUUAGAGUGUUUAAAGCAAGCUAACGCUUGAAUACAUUAGCAUGGAAUAAUGAAAUAGGACGUUUGAUCCUAUUUUGUUGGUUUCUAGGAUCGACGUAAUGAUUAAUAGGGAUAGGUUGGGGGCAUUAGUAUUCAAUUGUCAGAGGUGAAAUUCUUGGAUUUAUUGAAGACUAACUACUGCGAAAGCAUUUGCCAAGGAUGUUUUCAUUAAUCAAGAACGAAAGUUAGGGGAUCGAAGACGAUCAGAUACCGUCGUAGUC